RNAcentral lists this transfer RNA (93 nucleotides) under Schizophyllum commune. Its description in RNAcentral is "tRNA-Leu". It matches the Rfam family "tRNA". From Rfam's summary of the family: Transfer RNA (tRNA) molecules are approximately 80 nucleotides in length. Their secondary structure includes four short double-helical elements and three loops (D, anti-codon, and T loops). Further hydrogen bonds mediate the characteristic L-shaped molecular structure. tRNAs have two regions of fundamental functional importance: the anti-codon, which is responsible for specific mRNA codon recognition, and the 3' end, to which the tRNAs corresponding amino acid is attached (by aminoacyl-tRNA synthetases). tRNAs cope with the degeneracy of the genetic code in two manners: having more than one tRNA (with a specific anti-codon) for a particular amino acid; and 'wobble' base-pairing, i.e. permitting non-standard base-pairing at the 3rd anti-codon position. RNAcentral also lists the same sequence under 1 other name. Lineage: Eukaryota; Fungi; Basidiomycota; Agaricomycetes; Agaricales; Schizophyllaceae. The record is from RNAcentral.
GGCGAGAUGGCCGAGCGGUCUAAGGCGCUAGAAUCAGGCGAUAAUGCGCCAAUCUAGUCCUCCGGGGCGUGGGUUCGAAUCCCACUCUCGUCA